UGGUUUCCUGUUGGGCGGUGUUGAUGGCAUAGCGGAACUCUGGCAGCCACUGGUCCCAGGUCUGAUGUUGUUGACCCACAAAAGCAGCAAUCAUUGUCUUUAUGGUUCGGUUAAAUCUCUCAGUUAGAUUUGACUGUGGCUGGUAGCUUGUUGUUAAUUUUUGAACACAACCCCAUGUCUUGCACAGAUCGCCCAGAAGGCUGGAAGUGAAUUGGGGCCCCCUAUCAGACACCAGGUAUUUGGGCACCCCCCAUCGGGUAAAUAUCUCCUCCCUGAGUAUUUUCACUAUUCUCUGGGUCUUGCCGUCUCUCAAUGGGAACAUUUCCACCCACUUAGUGAAAUAAUCCACAAUGACAAGGAGGUAAGUGUUCUGUUUUUUACUGCUUGGAAAUGGUCACAUUAGGUCCACCCCUAGCAUGUAUCCCGGUUCCGUGAUCGGAGAACUCUGCAUAAAUCCAGACAGUUUUGUAUUGCUGGGUUUAUAUUUCUGGCAUACCUCACAGCCUUUGACAUACUGCCACACAUCCUUCCUGACGGAUGGCCACCAUGCCACAUCCAGGAAUUUUAGCAGGGUUUUCAACUGUCCCAGAUGGCCACCUAGGGGAUUAUCAUGGUAAUAAUGCAUGAAGUCAGUGGUUAACGAGGAUGGUACUACCAACUGAUACUUCUCUCCCUUAUUCCUUAAAGGAACCUUGCGGUACCACACCCCCUGGUGGUCUUCAAAGGUGAUGGGUUGUUCCUUGACUGAUCGAGGUUUGAUGCCAGACUGCAGGUGAGUGAUAGUAUUGUCCAAACGUUGUGCUUGAGCGAUUUCUUCCAGCAAGUGGGGUAAAGUGGACGAAUGUUGCGAUGACAUGGAAAGACAUGGGGCAUCAUCAGUAGAAAGUGGCUCCUGGACCCGGGAUAAAGCGUCAGGUCCCACGUUAAGGCAGCCCUUUCGGUGAAUUGUUGCAGGCGGAGUGUCCAGCGGGUUAGUCGGGAGGAGGUUUUAGGGCAGUUGAAUGCCCAGGAGAGUGCUGAGUGGUCCGUGAAAACCUCAAAAGGACAUCCCUCCAGGUAAUGCCUCCACUUUUCAACAGCCCACACCACUGCUAAACAUUCCUUUUCAGAAGUGCUGUAAUUCUUCUCGGCCCCUGUUAAGGUCCGUGAUGCAUACGCCACCACUUGUUCUCCUUCAUCCGAGUGUUGAGUGAGGAUGGCGCCCAGUCCCACAUCACUCGCAUCCGUGUGAACCUGGAAGGUUUUGUUGAGGUUAGGUUGUAUCAACACAGGUGAGUUCUGUAAUCUUUGUUUAAGAGCAUCCAUACUAGCCUGACACUCUGGAGUCCAUUCCCACCUUACUCCUUUCUUUUUAAGGUGGUUCAAGGGAGCAGAUAUGUCAGCGAAGUGGGGAAUGAACUUAUGAUACCACCCUGCCAGGCCCAAAAACCUCUGAAGGGCUUUGAGAUCUUGUGGAGGGGGAAACUCAUCAACGGCCCUGGUCUUUUCUCGAUCAAUCUCCACACCCCUCUCAGAGACAAUAUGGCCUAGAAAUUUGAGCUGGCGUUUGAAGAAGUGGCAUUUCUUCAUGUUCAGCAUCAAGUUGGCUUGGGUAAGUUUAUGUAGAACCAUGCUGAUAUCUUGAAUGUGUUGAUCUUGUGACUUUGAAUAUAUGAUGAUGUCAUCGAUGUAGACAAAACAUAACUUCCCCCUCAAAUCAGAUAGCACCCUCUCCAUCAAACACUGGAAGGUGGCAGCGGCAUUUCUGAGUCCAUACGGCAUAGACUUGAAUUGAAAUAAUCCUUUGGUGGUGAUAAAAGCGGUCUUCUCUCGACUCAACUCCUCCAUCUCCACCUGCCAGUACCCCGACUGUAAAUCCAACGAACUAAACCAAGAUGCACCUUCAAGGGACUCAAGGAUGUCAUGAAUCAAGGGCAUUGGGUAAGCGUCAGGUACAGUCUUGCUGUUUAGCUUCCUAUAGUCCACACAAAACCUAUAUGAUCCAUCAGGUUUGGGGACUAGGACCACCGGGGAUGACCAAGGUGAGAAGGAUGGCUCAAUAAUGCCGUCCUGCAGCAUCUUAUCAACAUGCUCCUCUAUGACCUGUUUCUUUAGAGGAGACACUCUAUAUGCUCGGGAUUUGAUGGGUAUGUCGUCCAUUAAUGUUAUCUUGUGUUGAACCACUGAUGUCCUACCCAGGGUGUUAGAGGUGGUGAGUGGCCAAGUGGAUAUCAAUUUCAUCAUCUCCUCCUGAUUGUCUGAAUCCCACUGAGUGAUCUGGGGUUUGAAUGACGUGAGCUCAGGAAGAGUGUCAGCUGGUGGUAAGGUGUAGUAUAGAUUCAGCUUUGCUGCCGUAAGAGAAUGAGCCUGUCCUGUAGAGGUAACUGGACCUGUUGGUAUCAGUGAAGGCAAGAAAGGGUAAUAUGUGUAUCCUCUUUCAGAUUUUAACCCAUACCUGCGUUGUCCGACCUCCAAGACAGCACCUGUGGCACUCAGGAAAUCCAGACCAGCAAUAAGAGGAAAGGCGAGGUCUCUGGAUUGGUGAAUUGUGCCAUCCGCCAUAAUAAAUCUCUGAGGACUGGAGUUAACAACCGCUGGUGUCUCCCCCUUCAACUGUUUCCACAGGUUCUCUUGCAUUAAUGUGUAAGUGCUUCCUGUGUCCAGAACCGCCCUCACUUCUCUGCCAUUCACCCUUAUAGGCACAACAAGGAGAGAAGACCCCGGAUGGGGUUGGGCUAGGUUUACUCCGGCCAGGUUUUUGUUGAAGGUACGUUCUCCAGUUUUUUUGUAUGGCUUCUCUUUGCUGCUCUGAGUGCUGACUUUUUGCCAGUAGUCUUUGGCUCCCAUGCAGUCCUUCUCCACUCUUGACCCCACCUUCACCAGUUGCUCCACUGAGUGAACUGUCCCUCUCAGGCAUCCUGCGACCCUGGGGUUGAUGUUGUUCAAGAUGCGGUUCACCAGUUCCUCCUCCAAGAUCUCUGGCUUCCAUUUAAGACAGAGGGCCCGGUAGUCAUAAGCAAAGUCCCUCAGGCGUUGUUGUGGCUGCUGAACCAGGGUCCUCAGCUUUUCCUCCACUUCAGAGAGCUCAGAGCGGGUCCCUUCAGGACCGUACUUAAGGUUCCAAUAAGCUCAACACAAGGAAGGGGCCUGAUCUCCAGGAAGUUCUCACAUUGCUCUAUGAAGUUUAGCACCUCCGAGGUCUCACAGGAGUCGCCAAAAGAGGGGAACUCAAUGCGGAUGGGAGGUUGAGCACAGAAUGAGGAAGCACCAACCCCUACUGAAGAAGAGGUAAGCACAUUUUGACGAUUAGUAUGCACAGGGGGGGGAAUGUCAUAUGUAUCAUCAAGAGGUUUAAAAGCUGGAAUUUUCUCCCUAGAUACUGGAACUGGGGUCUGAGGAUGACGUACAGCCGAAAAGCGUGAGGCAUCCGGAGAGUAGGCCUGUAAUCUGGAGAGUGUGGGAGUGCUAGUCAGUCUCAAUUUCCUCAUUUGACUUUCCCAUUUAUGGUCUCUCCUAAGAAAACAAUUUGUUACAGCCUUUUCUAAUUUUUCCAGUGCCUUCAUAAAAUAAUCCUCCAACCCUGCCAAGCUAGAAUCCACAGCCUGCCUGAAGUUGGUUUCCCUAUUCAAUGUGCUGUCCAUUGACUGUUUAAAAUCUUUGUCUAAAGUGAGUACUUUUUGGUUAAGGGCCAAUAAAUCCACUUUACAUUGUGCCAGGUCUGUGUGUAAUGAUUGUGCCAUAUCAACAUUCCUUAUACCAUUAUCAUCCUCAUCAUCAUCAGACUGUUCAGAAUCAGAAAUGUACAGUGAACUAAUCAUAGACGUUAUUUCUGCAGCUGGAUUACGCCUUGUCACAAAUGGGCCUGCAGUAAAAUCCAUACCACUUGGUUCAUUCUCAUUUUGUACAAUUCCAUGUGUAACAGUGUCAUCAGUUUGCUCAACAUGAACUUCAACAACUGCUUCAGUAUUUGUCCUAUCCAUAAUGCCAGUUGAAAGAAAAAGAAAGAAAGAAAAAAAAAAACAAACACCUUAAUCAGGAAAAAUCCCUGUACGGGCCACCAAUAUGUAACACUCAGCCUAUAUAAGGCAGUUUACACAACGUCAACCGGUUCUUAAUCCCUUUCUUUUAAACGUGUUUGAAUAAAAUACUCCACAAAAUAAACAGAAUAAAUGUCAAACCCAAGUGUAUUAUACAAGAAACAACAAUAUACCA
Megalobrama amblycephala (Wuchang bream) is the source of this 4191-nucleotide long non-coding RNA. RefSeq lists it as uncharacterized. NCBI's taxonomy places the organism in Eukaryota, Metazoa, Chordata, Actinopteri, Cypriniformes, Xenocyprididae. The record is from RefSeq and is a predicted model, not a curated record. The transcript is spliced from 3 exons.